AAUAGCCAUAAGCUUAAUUUCCGAUUUGCAUAAUCGGAAAGCGGGGGAACCACUUUUUCCGGGGCGAAUCGGCAGCAUAUCUGCCGUAGGGAACCAUCUUUCCCGAGUCCGUCAGCUAACCUCGUCAGCCUCAAGAUGGGUCAA
This 144-nucleotide small RNA is filed under the name Brevibacillus borstelensis. RNAcentral's name for it is "c-di-AMP sequence". It matches the Rfam family "c-di-AMP riboswitch aptamer (ydaO/yuaA leader)". Rfam says of the family: This family represents a conserved RNA structure found upstream of the ydaO and yuaA genes in Bacillus subtilis and related genes in other bacteria. The ydaO/yuaA element is thought to act as a genetic "off" switch for the ydaO and yuaA genes in its native state. Lineage: Bacteria; Bacillati; Bacillota; Bacilli; Caryophanales; Paenibacillaceae. The record is from RNAcentral.